GAUGAACGCUGGCGGCGUGCCUAACACAUGCAAGUCGAACGGAGAUUACGGACGGAAGUUUUCGGAUGGAAGCCUGUAAUUCUUAGUGGCGGACGGGUGAGUAACGCGUGGGCAACCUGCCCUAUACAGGGGGAUAGCAGCUGGAAACGGCUGGUAAGACCGCAUAAGUCGGUUAAAUCGCAUGAUUUGAUCGGGAAAUGAGCAAUCAGGUAUAGGAUGGGCCCGCGUCCGAUUAGCCAGUUGGCAGGGUAAAAGCCUACCAAGCGACGAUCGGUAGCCGGACUGAGAGGUCGGACGGCCACAUUGGGACUGAGACACGGCCCAAACUCCUACGGGAGGCAGCAGUGGGGGAUAUUGCACAAUGGAGGAAACUCUGAUGCAGCGACGCCGCGUGAGUGAAGAAGUAUUUCGGUAUGUAAAGCUCUAUCAGCAGGGAAGAUGAUGACGGUACCUGACUAAGAAGCCCCGGCUAACUACGUG
RNAcentral lists this ribosomal RNA (480 nucleotides) under uncultured bacterium. RNAcentral's name for it is "partial 16S ribosomal RNA". It matches the Rfam family "Bacterial small subunit ribosomal RNA", at positions 28 to 507 of the family's 1533-position model. The record is from RNAcentral.